Molecule: ribosomal RNA, 466 nt
Filed under: uncultured bacterium
Lineage: Bacteria
Description: partial 16S ribosomal RNA
Rfam family: Bacterial small subunit ribosomal RNA
Source: RNAcentral
CUACGGGGGGCUCCAGUGGGGAAUCUUGCACAAUGGGCGCAAGCCUGAUGCAGCAACGCCGCGUGAGUGAAGAAGGCUCUUGGGUUGUAAAGCUCUUUCGGCUGGGAAGAAGGGUCUUGGUGCGAAUAGUUCCAAGAUUUGACGGUACCAGAAGAAGAAGCACCGGCUAACUGCCGUGCCAGCAGCCGCGGUAAUACGGAGGGUGCAAGCGUUGUUCGGAUUGACUGGGCGUAAAGAGCACGUAGGCGGGUUCGCAAGUUGGAUGUGAAAUCCCCGGGCUUAACCUGGGAACUGCAUCCAAGACUGCGAAUCUUGAAUGCUUGAGAGGUUGGUGGAAUUCCUGGUGUAGGAGUGAAAUCCGUAGAUAUCAGGAGGAACACCGGUGGCGAAGGCGGCCAACUGGCGAUGCAUUGACGCUGAGGUGCGAAAGCGUGGGGAGCAAACAGGAUUAGAUACCCUAGUAGUC